Oncorhynchus tshawytscha (Chinook salmon) is the source of this 2419-nucleotide long non-coding RNA. NCBI's taxonomy places the organism in Eukaryota, Metazoa, Chordata, Actinopteri, Salmoniformes, Salmonidae. The record is from Ensembl.
UGAGAACCCAAGGAAAUGUCCAUGUUCCAGUCAAUGAUAUGGAAUCCGUGACAGUACCACCCCCUGAAGCUCUGCACCAGCAGCGGGACGACACCGGCCUCUGGGAUGACCACAGGGACGCAGUGCGGGUCGAUCAAGGCAAUGACGGUGAAAAUCCCUGGUCAGCAAAGCGUCCAGGAUGUCCACCGCAGGAUCCCAACGCCGCCCUUCUGGGCCAUACUCCUCCCAGUUGAUGAGGUACUGGAGAAGCCCCAUCCAACACCCCAAAUCCAGGACUUCAGGACCGAGUACGACGGACCUCCCUCGAUGUCUAGAGGAGGAGGCAGGGCAUCACUGGGUCCAGCCUCAGCGAGGGGACCAGGCACCACUGGCCUGAUGAGAGACACAUGAAUAGUUGGGUUAAUGCGAUAAUCAGCAGGGAGUUGCAAAUGGUACAUUAAUUUAUUAACCCUCCUCAUGACUUUAAACGGCCCCACAAACCGCGUGCUCAGCACCCGGCAGGGCAGGUGGAGGGGCAGGUUCUGGGUGGAGAGCACGGCCCGCUGGAGACGAUUGUGUGCAGCGUUCCAGAUCUCCUCAGCGCACCGAAAACACUCGUCCACCGCAGGGGCCUCGGCCUGGCUCGGAUGCCAAGUUGCCAGGGCCGGCUGAUACACCUUUCCAGUGCGUGUUGGGGUGAGGUUAGUGGAGGAGUGGCGAAGGGAAUUCUGCCCACGGUAGAAAAUCCACCCACUCCCCCGGACGGGCCUGACAGUAACACCUCAGGAACCUGCCCACUUCCUGAUUGACCCUCUCCGCCUGCCCAUUUGCUUGAGGAUGGUACCCGGAGGUGAGACUGACCAUGACCCCCCAGGCGUUCCAUGAACGCUUUCCAUACGCGUGAGGUGAAAUGAGGGCCACGAUCUGACACAAUGUCCUCCGGGAUCCCGUAGUGCCAGAAGACAUGCAUAAAAAGAGCCUCCGCGGUUUGCAUGGCCGACGGGAGCCCAUUCAGAGGAAGGAGGCAACAUUAUGAGAUACUCUCAAAUCUGCAGCUAAAAUCCUAAUUGGAAGCUUUUGGAGAUACUCGUAAUGCCCCGUGGUCGUGGAAAAGACCGUUUUCCAUUCGUCGCUUGCACGAAUGCGCACCAGAUUGUAGGCACUCCUCAAGUCCAGUUUCGUGAAGUACUGCGCCCCGUGCUUUUGUUCGAUGAUGGUUGGGAUGAGGGGUAAAGGAUAGCUGAACAUAAUGGUGGCUUUUUUCAGUUGUUCGAUAAUCAAUGCAGGGGUGCAGUCCCCCAUCUUUCUUCUUAACAGUCUCCUCUCGGACCAGGAAAUAACAGGGUUAUGCCAACUCAACCAGGGGAGACCUAAAACAACGGGGUGCGUGGGGGUGUCUAUAAUCAAAAAGGUGAUCUGUUCUAAAUGAUUGUCAUGGGUCAGCAGAGAAACGGGAACAGUGAUGUGAUGUACAAGCCCUGUCCCUAUUGGACGAAUAUCCAGGGCUUGAACCGGAAUGGGUGACUAAGGGAACCAAAGGAAUGCGUAAUGCAAAGGCCGGUGAGCUAUCUAAAAGAUUCCCGGCAGCUCCGGAAUCAAUCAGAGCUAAUGGGAGUGAGGGGCUAGGAUAUUCAGGGAAUCUAAUGGGAAAACACACUGGUUGAGUUGACAGAAAAGGAGAGGAGAUCUUGCAUCCUCCCUGGGUUGGAGCAGGGCAAUUCCCUGGCUUGUCACCUCCUCGCCUAUUAGUGGAUAGAGGGCAGGUCGGGGAGAAAUUACCCCUUUCUCCACAGUAGAAGCAGAGGCCCAGAUUCCUCCUUCUCCUAAGCGCUGCCUCGGGUAACAGUGCAGAGCACACCUCCAUCGGCUCUGGCCACAGAGCAGGUGUAGCCAUGGGCUCCGGAUUCCACGCAGGUUGUCGGGACCACAGGAGGUUGUCCAACCGGAUCGCCAUGCUGAUCAGCUGGUCGAGUGACAGGUUAUCAUCACGGCAGGCUCACUCCAUCUGUACCUCCUCCCGCAGUCCGCUGCAUAAAACGGUGAUCAAAGUCAACUCGUUCCAUCCGGUGGAGGCCGCGACGGUCCGGAACUCCAGGGCGAACUCCGAGGGGGUCCUAGAUCCCAGGUGUAGUCUGAGUAGGCACUCACCCCCCUCUAGGCCCUCCACAGGUUGAUCAAACACCGAGCGGAAGAGGAGGGUGAAGUGCUCUUAGGACUCGACCUCGGGUCCACCCGUUUCCAGCUGUCUCCAUUUGAUGGGUUGAUUAUUCUGUCCCGUUGUAUAAUGAUAGGAGACAGGUGCAGGAAUACAAACGUUUUUUGUAUUUCACUACCCAAAAUGGUGUAUGUCAUGAACAUGACGGGGAUGAAGCCCAAAACAAACCCAUAUACAGUGCCUUGCGAAAGUAUUCGGCCCCCUUGAACUUUGCGACCUUUUGCC